Molecule: ribosomal RNA, 465 nt
Filed under: Goniozus japonicus
Lineage: Eukaryota; Metazoa; Arthropoda; Insecta; Hymenoptera; Bethylidae
Description: partial 16S ribosomal RNA
Source: RNAcentral
UCUUYAAAACAUGUCUUCUUGAUUUUAAUUUUAAGUCGUCUCUGCCCAAUGAUUAAUUUAAAUGGCCGCAGUAUUUUGACUGUGCAAAGGUAGCAUAAUCAAUAGUUUUUUAAUUGAAAGCUGGUAUGAAGGAGUUAAUAAAAUAUAAACUUUAUUUAAAUAAAAUUUUUAAAUUUAAAAUUUAAGUAAAAAUUCUUAAAUAAAUUUAUGGGACGAGAAGACCCUAUAGAAUUUUAUAUUUAAAUUAGUAUAAAGUAUAGUUUUUAAUUUUUUAUUAAUUUAAAUAUUUUAUUGGGAGGAUAAUUAAAUUUAUUUAACUUUAAUAUUUUUAUUAACAAUAAUUAUUGAAUUUAAGAUUUUAUUAUUUUAAUUAAUAGAUUAAAUUACCUUAGGGAUAACAGCGUAAUAUUUUUGGAGAGUUCUUAUUGAUAAAAAUGUUUGCGACCUCGAUGUUGAAUAAGAUKU